RNAcentral lists this ribosomal RNA (1235 nucleotides) under metagenome. RNAcentral describes it as "bacterial LSU rRNA". It matches the Rfam family "Bacterial large subunit ribosomal RNA", at positions 1564 to 2808 of the family's 2925-position model. The record is from RNAcentral.
UGAAUACGAGACGCUACGGCGUCGAAGCAGUCUAUGUCAUACUUCCAAGAAAAGCUUGCACUGUCAUAAACAAAUAAUGCCUGUACCAUAACCGACACAGGUGGGUAGGUAGAGUAUACUAAGGGGCGCGAGAUAACUCUCUCUAAGGAACUCGGCAAAAUGACUCCGUAACUUCGGGAGAAGGAGUGCCUUAUUUAUAAGGUUGCAAUAACAAGAUCCAAGCAACUGUUUAUCAAAAACACAGGUCUCCGCUAAGUCGUAAGACGAUGUAUGGGGGCUGACGCCUGCCCAGUGCCAGAAGGUUAAAGAAGUUGGUUAGCAUUAGCGAAGCUGAUAACUGAAGCCCUGGUGAACGGCGGCCGUAACUAUAACGGUCCUAAGGUAGCGAAAUUCCUUGUCGGGUAAGUUCCGACCCGCACGAAAGGCGUAAUGAUUUGGAUACUGUCUCGGAGAGGGGCUCGGUGAAAUAGACUUGUCUGUGAAGAUGCGGACUACCUGCACCUGGACAGAAAGACCCUAUGAAGCUUUACUGUAACCUGAAAUUGAAAUUGGACUUUAUUUGCGCAGUAUAGGUGGGAGGCGUUGAGAAUAUUCUUGCGGGAAUAUUGGAGCCAUCAGUGAGAUACCACUCUUGUAAUGUUAGAUUUCUAACUUUGAAUCAUUAUCUGGUCAAAGAACAGUUUCAGGCGGGCAGUUUGACUGGGGCGGUCGCCUCCUAAAUGGUAACGGAGGCGCACAAAGGUUUCCUCUGAACGGGUAGAAAUCGUAUCUAGAGUGUAAAGGCAUAAGGAAGCUUGACUGUGAGACCUACAAGUCGAGCAGGGACGAAAGUCGGUCUUAGUGAUCUGACGGUGCUGAGUGGAAAGGCCGUCACUCAACGGAUAAAAGUUACUCUAAGGAUAACAGGCUGAUCUCCCCCAAGAGUUCACAUCGACGGGGAGGUUUGGCACCUCGAUGUCGGCUCAUCGCAUCCUGGGGCGGUAGUACGUCCCAAGGGUUGGGCUGUUCGCCCAUGAAAGCGGUACGCGAGCUGGGUUCAGAACGUCGUGAGACAGUUCGGUCCAUAUCCGGUGUAGGCGUUAGAAUAUUGAGAGGAGCCUUCUUUAGUACGAGAGGACCGAGAAGGACAUACCUCUGGUGUACCAGUUAUCGUGCCAACGGUAAACGCUGGGUAGCUAUGUACGGAGAGGAUAACCGCUGAAAGCAUCUAAGUGGGAAGCCCGCCUCAAGAUAAG